AUCCAGCUGACGAGUCCCAAAUAAGACGAAACGCGAGCCUUGGAU
Non-coding RNA from Schistosoma rodhaini, 45 nucleotides. Lineage: Eukaryota; Metazoa; Platyhelminthes; Trematoda; Strigeidida; Schistosomatidae. The record is from Rfam.